This 576-nucleotide unclassified non-coding RNA is filed under the name uncultured fungus. RNAcentral's name for it is "sequence contains ITS1, 5.8S rRNA gene and ITS2". The stretch from base 210 to 363 matches the Rfam family "5.8S ribosomal RNA". The record is from RNAcentral. Lineage: Eukaryota; Fungi.
CUUGGUCAUUUAGAGGAAGUAAAAGUUGUAACAAGGUUUCCGUAGGUGAACCUGCGGAAGGAUCAUUAUCAAAACAGCGGACUUCGGUCUUUGCUGCACCCUUGUCUUUUGCGCACCGAAUUGUUUCCUCGGCGGGCUUGCCUGCCGGUUGGACAUUAUCAAAACCUUUUUGUAGUUGCAAUCAGCGUCAGAAAAAUCAUAAUUAUUACAACUUUCAACAACGGAUCUCUUGGUUCUGGCAUCGAUGAAGAACGCAGCGAAAUGCGAAAAGUAGUGUGAAUUGCAGAAUUCAGUGAAUCAUCGAAUCUUUGAACGCACAUUGCGCCCCUUGGUAUUCCAUGGGGCAUGCCUGUUCGAGCGUCAUUUUGUACCCUCAAGCACUGCUUGGUGUUGGGCGUUUGUCCUGCAGAGGACUCGCCUGAAAGCGAUUGGCGGCCAACGUAGUCGUGGCAGAGCGCAGCACAAUCUCGCGUCUCUCCCCUCUGCGUCGGCGUCCAUGAAGCCCACAAUCUCAACGUUUGACCUCGGAUCAGGUAGGGAUACCCGCUGAACUUAAGCAUAUCAAUAAGCGGAGGA